Molecule: transfer RNA, 72 nt
Filed under: Encephalitozoon romaleae SJ-2008
Lineage: Eukaryota; Fungi; Microsporidia; Unikaryonidae
Description: tRNA-Gly (CCC) (tRNA-Gly-CCC-1-1)
Rfam family: tRNA
About the family: Transfer RNA (tRNA) molecules are approximately 80 nucleotides in length. Their secondary structure includes four short double-helical elements and three loops (D, anti-codon, and T loops).
Source: RNAcentral
GCAUUGAUAGUAUAGUGGUUAUUAUGUGAGCUUCCCAAGCUCGUGGCCCGGGUUCGAUUCCCGGUCAAUGCA